RNAcentral lists this long non-coding RNA (1964 nucleotides) under Homo sapiens (human). Lineage: Eukaryota; Metazoa; Chordata; Mammalia; Primates; Hominidae. The record is from RNAcentral.
AAAUGAACUAAGUGAUGCCCUUUAUACUAACGCGCAUAUCCAUUUCACAAUGCCAUGGACCAAUGUUCUCAUCUCAGUUGUGACUUAACUCUCUCUCCCCAACGAGCGAGGGGCUGAAUGAUCACCUUAGUCUUCACCGGAAGAAUUCUCCUGGGAUGACUUCAAGGAGUGUACCAGUAAGAUAAGACAGAAAAUGAAGAAAGGAGAUAAGAGAAAAAAAAAGAUGUCUGACUAAAUGAGGGUGCCAGUGCUCCUUGGAGUCAGAAAACGCUGAUUCCGGCUCUGGGAAGAAAGUGAUCCUGGACCAGCCUCUUGCUCCAGAAGGUGAGAAAGCCUCCUGUUCUUCCGGUCACGACAGAAGGAAUCAGAAGCCGACUAAAAAGUUUUUCCAGGGGCCACAUAGAGACAAUUUUAGCGUCAAACAAAUGAUAACUACAAUUGACGGCAACACGUUGGACCCAUUAGGUCAGACUGAUGCUGGGAAUAAAGGCAGAACAGAAACAUAAAGUUUUUUUUAAAAAAAUUUCACCCUUUUUAAAGAAUAAAUUAUUCUGAAAACUAGUGAAGGUAGCGCAUAAAACAAGCAUUUAUCUCAUUUUAUUUGUGGAAACUGUGCUUUGGGGGAACAAAUGAGUGUUGAAGGAAUGGUCUUUAUAGAUGAAAUCUGGGCAAUACAAGAGGAAAUCGGAACUAUUAGGUUGGUGGAAAAACCGUGAUUACUUUUGCACCAACCUGAUACAAUAUCCCAGUUGGGCAAUCUCGAAUGACGCAAGAUGAGCGUCAUCAUCAUCAUUGCUGCCAACCCAUCUGGUGAGGAGCUGGGAGAGAGCGUGGAAACACUGAGCCGGCGGCUCCAUCGUUACAACGCCGCAGGCAAACAAGGGGAAUUCUGGGAGAGAGCGUGGAAACACUGAGCCGGCGGCUCCAUCGUUACAACGCCGCAGGCAAACAAGGGGAAUUCUGGGAGAGAGCGUGGAAACACUGAGCCGCGGCUCCAUGGUUACAACGCCGCAGGCAAACAAGGGGAAUUCUGGGAGAGAGCGUGGAAACACUGAGCCGGCGGCUCCAUCGUUACAACGCCGCAGGCAAACAAGGGGAAUUCUGGGAGAGAGCGUGGAAACACUGAGCCGGCGGCUCCAUCGUUACAACGCCACAGGCAAACAAGGGGAAUUCUGGGAGAGAGCGUGGAAACACUGAGCCGGCGGCUCCAUGGUUACAACGCCGCAGGCAAACAAGGGGAAUUCUGUGGCUCCAGUGUGACACGGUGAGGGGCGCACAUCGCCGUGAACUCCUUUUUCCCCCACAAAAAUCCGAAUCAAAUUAAGCCUCUACAUUAGCGCUGUUCAACAGAAAUAUCACGUGAGCUAUCUUACAGUAUUUAAGACAGGAAUCUUAAAUUUUCUAGUAACCACGUUAAAAAGGUAAAAAGAAAUUGUUGAAAUUAAUCGUAUGUUUUAUUUAUCCCAAUGUACCAAAAAUAUAAUUUCAUAAUGUUAUCGAUGUAAAAAGUAUUGAUGUGAUAUUUUACAUUUUUUCAUACAUCUUUGAAAUCUUGUGUAAAUUUUGCAUUAGCAGUACAUCUUCCAUUGCUGAUUUCUCAUUGGAAAUAGUCUGUAUUUAGAGUUUGUAAAAUUUCCAGCUGAAAAACUAGAUUUGUGAGCCGCAGUUGCUCCAGUCGUACUUGAAAAUCUUCCAACAACCAAAUAGAGUGUGUUUUAAAAUUUACAUUAAUUUCAAUUAACUAAUAUUAAAAGUUUUACAGAAGCCACAUUUCAAGUGUUGAACAGCCACACGUACUAGUGGCAAGUGUGUUAAACAGCACAUAUGUAAAUCUCGUCACCAGUCCACAGGAACGCACAUGGUACCAAGAAGGGAAAGAAGAUACCACGUAUGUGCAGUCACUCAAUUCAGAGUGUGGAAAAUGCUACAGGGUAAGGAAUCUGGUUAAUUGCAAUUAAAAAAAG